AUAAAAUUGAAUGAACAUCCCUGCCUAACAAAGAUAAAUGUUUUCCAGACAACCUAUGUCACCUCUGAAAAUGUUUCAGGUUAUUGUGUCCCUUCUGCUGCUUUCAGGUGUCCUGGGAGCACCAUUUCUCUCUGAAGAAACAGCAAAUCAGUUCAUAAGGCUUAAGAGACAAAUACCAUAUUCUCACAGCUAUUGGGACGCAAGCAGUAGCGAGAAUGCUUGGGGUUACACUGUGGCAGAACAGGCAAGUGAAUCAUGGACAGCAUUGAGAAACACAGCCCAAUACUACAUGGACUUGGGAUCUUUUGUCUUUGAUUCUGCAACUGCCCAGUAGCCCACACUGGAAGACUUGCCUCUAAUUGCCACUGGAAGCUUUCAGAAUGCCACCUGUCUACAGAAACCAGGACAUCUAUACAUAAAAGGAACUACCAAGGAAGACAACAAAAAUGGCAAUUAAAAACCUACUGAAGCCUUAGGAACAUUAUAGUUCUUUUCAGUAUUUUUUUUUUCCUCAAUGUAUUUGCCAUUCCUUUCUGUCUUCCAGAGUGGCAUUA
This is an RNA transcript of Alligator sinensis (Chinese alligator), 554 nucleotides long. It is a transcript of the gene named chromosome unknown C3orf85 homolog, with no coding region annotated. NCBI's taxonomy places the organism in Eukaryota, Metazoa, Chordata, Crocodylia, Alligatoridae. The record is from RefSeq and is a predicted model, not a curated record. The transcript is spliced from 5 exons.